UACGUAGGAGGCAAGCGUUGUCCGGAUUUACUGGGUGUAAAGGGUGCUCAGGUGGUUUGGUAAGUCAGGGGUGAAAUCCCGGAGCUCAACUCCGGAACUGCCUUUGAUACUACUAGGCUUGAGUAUGGAAGAGGCUGAUGGAAUUUCUGGUGUAGCAGUGAAAUGCGUAGAUAUCAGGAAGAACACCAGUGGCGAAGGCGGUCAGCUGGUCCAUUACUGACACUAAAGCACGAAAGCGUGGGGAG
Molecule: ribosomal RNA, 245 nt
Filed under: uncultured bacterium
Lineage: Bacteria
Description: partial 16S ribosomal RNA
Rfam family: Bacterial small subunit ribosomal RNA
Source: RNAcentral